This is a long non-coding RNA of Mustela putorius furo (domestic ferret), 1857 nucleotides long. Lineage: Eukaryota; Metazoa; Chordata; Mammalia; Carnivora; Mustelidae. The record is from Ensembl.
GUUCCCCACCAGAUUCAUUCCUGAUUCACAGAUCUUUAUUCCAAAACUAUCUGUUAAGUACCAGAUACUGUGCUCCAUGUAGGUCCUCAGCGCUUUUUCUGAAAUUUCCUUCCCCAAAGAUUGGAUGGUAAAGCCCACAAGAAUACGUGGGAACGGACGCCCAGCCAGGAGGAGCAGUGGGUCUGCUCCUCGGUAUCCUGCUUCCCUGUCUCCUGAAACGCCUGCCUGUGGGUUUAAGUAAGGCCCAGGGCCCUGACCGGCCGUGUGGCUCAGCAGGGCGGGCCUCUGCCAUGAAGGGCAGUUUCAGAGGUCAUUCUCCUGCCGAGAGAAUUCUUAGCUUAGUUCUUAUCCUUACAUUCACUAAAACAAACAGAGGUUCUUAGACUCCACCUGGAGCCCAUAGAUUUUUAAUUUCCUGGAGCAGGGUCCAGGAACCUGUCUUUCUGCAAUACUUCCUGAUUUGGGAACCAUGACCACACUCACCCUUUAAGUGAGCAAGGCGAUUCCAGAAAUGUGUUCCUGCUGCGUAAGCCAGGCAAACAAGAGGGUGCUGCCUGGGCCUGCGUUGGCUACAUUGUAGCCAGGUCAACGCGCCUCAUUGUUCUGGAUGAGAUUAAAGUCCAGUCCACAGAAAUAACAGCCCAGAAGCCACCGAAGAGUGCUGGUCUCUCUGACCGUCGUGAUCAUGGUUUCUUGGGCGCCCCAGGACGGGGAAGGGGGACGAGAUGUCAGCACACUGGUUUGUCCUGCUUGGUGAUGCCGACGAGGAAGGGCGCCCCGGGAGAGACUGUGGGGUGUGGCACUCUUUCGCCUCUCCUGGACCUCUGUCUCCAAGGCCCCCCAUGGACAGUGACAUUGCUGCUUCUGUGCCCUCGCUGUGGGGCCAGACUAGUUUACGAAGUGGAAAAGCAACCCAUGGACUCGGUGGAAGCCCAAGAUCUGGGGGAGGCGUGUGUGCGUCAGGGCCAAGAGCAAGUGGGCUCAGUCUGGAUGGCCUUGGCCACGGGGGGAGGUGCUCACAUGUGCCUCUGGCUUCUCCGCCCCUUUCUCUCCAUGCCUGACACUGAUCUCACACGUCAACAUGCCCCUCCCUUUGCUUCUCGUUGGACCAGACAUGAGGGGUCACUGAGGACGUUUAGAUAGACAUUCCCAGGAGGGUGUCAGAGUCAUUGUGCUGAGCCGAGCGCAACAGAGGUUCCCGCGCUGAUGGCAGGAGCUCCACUCGUACUUGAACCCUGUCCAAAGCCGGGGAUCACCACCUCCCUGGGUACUCCGCAGGCAUGGAAGAAUACAGGUGUCCAGAGGGGCCAGGCACCGGCUGAGGCAGCAUCUGACCAAACCAAAGGGCACCUGUGCUUUCUCUGAGGCCAUUCCCUGGGGGCCUGACAAUGGCACAGAGUGAGCCCUGCUACAGAGCCCGCAGAGCCCCAAGCCUGGCGCAGUGCCUUCUACUCUCUUAGCCACAUGAGCCCCAGACCCUCCAUCAAUCACUAGGCUCAGCCCCCAAACUCUGAGCCCACCAGAUGCCCAGGAAAGCUGCGUCCUUCCAAAGUGGAGCCCCAGCCAGCCAGAGUCAGGACGCAGCCCUCACACCAGCUGCAGCCACCCCUCUACUGUGCUCCUGCCCCCUUUGGGUUUCCAAUAACCGGACAGUGCUGUAGCUUCGGUGAAGGUGACAGGGCCUCCCUGGCCGGCAUUGGUAGGAGUGGAAAACUCGUGAAUGGGCCCUUCUGAAAGGGCUGGCAUCGAGGCAGCUCCUAGGAGCAAACCCAUGUCCUGGGCAGACUUUACGNNNNNNNNNNNNNNNNNNNNNNNNNNNNNNNNNNNNNNNNNNNNNNNNNNNNNNNNNNNNNNNNN